Molecule: ribosomal RNA, 497 nt
Filed under: uncultured bacterium
Lineage: Bacteria
Description: partial 16S ribosomal RNA
Rfam family: Bacterial small subunit ribosomal RNA
Source: RNAcentral
GACGAACGCUGGCGGCGUGCCUAAUACAUGCAAGUUGAGCGCUGAAGGUUGGUACUUGUACCGACUGGAUGAGCAGCGAACGGGUGAGUAACGCGUGGGGAAUCUGCCUUUGAGCGGGGGACAACAUUUGGAAACGAAUGCUAAUACCGCAUAAAAACUUUAAACACAAGUUUUAAGUUUGAAAGAUGCAAUUGCAUCACUCAAAGAUGAUCCCGCGUUGUAUUAGCUAGUUGGUGAGGUAAAGGCUCACCAAGGCGAUGAUACAUAGCCGACCUGAGAGGGUGAUCGGCCACAGUGGGACUGAGACACGGCCCAAACUCCUACGGGAGGCAGCAGUAGGGAAUCUUCGGCAAUGGACGAAAGUCUGAACGAGCAACGCCGCGGGAGUGAAGAAGGUUGUCGGAUCGUAAAACUCUGUUGGUAGAGAAGAACGUUGGUGAGAGUGGAAAGCUCAUCAAGUGACGGUAACUACCCAGAAAGGGACGGCUAACUACGUG